This 465-nucleotide ribosomal RNA is filed under the name Vreelandella stevensii. Its description in RNAcentral is "partial 16S ribosomal RNA". It matches the Rfam family "Bacterial small subunit ribosomal RNA", at positions 338 to 795 of the family's 1533-position model. Lineage: Bacteria; Pseudomonadati; Pseudomonadota; Gammaproteobacteria; Oceanospirillales; Halomonadaceae. The record is from RNAcentral.
CCUACGGGCGGGCAGCAGUGGGGAAUAUUGGACAAUGGGCGAAAGCCUGAUCCAGCCAUGCCGCGUGUGUGAAGAAGGCCUUCGGGUUGUAAAGCACUUUCAGUGGGGAAGAAAGCCUUGGGGCUAAUACCCUCGAGGAAGGACAUCAUCCACAGAAGAAGCACCGGCUAACUCCGUGCCAGCAGCCGCGGUAAUACGGAGGGGCGAGCGUUAAUCGGAAUUACUGGGCGUAAAGCGCGCGUAGGCGGUCUGAUAAGCCGGUUGUGAAAGCCCCGGGCUCAACCUGGGAACGGCAUCCGGAACUGUCAGGCUAGAGUGCAGGAGAGGAAGGUAGAAUUCCCGGUGUAGCGGUGAAAUGCGUAGAGAUCGGGAGGAAUACCAGUGGCGAAGGCGGCCUUCUGGACUGAAACUGACGCUGAGGUGCGAAAGCGUGGGUAGCAAACAGGAUUAGAUACCCCGGUAGUC